ACACUCCUGCAGGAGGCAGCAGUGGGGAAUAUUGGACAAUGGGCGCAAGCCUGAUCCAGCCAUGCCGCGUGAGUGAUGAAGGCCCUAGGGUUGUAAAGCUCUUUCACCGGUGAAGAUAAUGACGGUAACCGGAGAAGAAGCCCCGGCUAACUUCGUGCCAGCAGCCGCGGUAAUACGAAGGGGGCUAGCGUUGUUCGGAUUUACUGGGCGUAAAGCGCACGUAGGCGGACUAUUAAGUCAGGGGUGAAAUCCCGGGGCUCAACCCCGGAACUGCCUUUGAUACUGGUAGUCUUGAGUUCGAGAGAGGUGAGUGGAAUUCCGAGUGUAGAGGUGAAAUUCGUAGAUAUUCGGAGGAACACCAGUGGCGAAGGCGGCUCACUGGCUCGAUACUGACGCUGAGGUGCGAAAGCGUGGGGAGCAAACAGGAUUAGAAACCCUAGUAGUCC
This 446-nucleotide ribosomal RNA is filed under the name uncultured organism. RNAcentral describes it as "partial 16S ribosomal RNA". It matches the Rfam family "Bacterial small subunit ribosomal RNA", at positions 333 to 796 of the family's 1533-position model. The record is from RNAcentral.